RNAcentral lists this long non-coding RNA (804 nucleotides) under Panax ginseng (ginseng). Its description in RNAcentral is "long non-coding RNA (PGIN_LNC005717)". Lineage: Eukaryota; Viridiplantae; Streptophyta; Magnoliopsida; Apiales; Araliaceae. The record is from RNAcentral.
GUUAACUUUUUAACUACGUGGCGCUGAAAAAAAAUAUAAAAAUUUAAAAUAUUACAUGUGGCAAAAAAAUAAAUAAAAAACUUCAACCUAACUUUCUACAUCAACAAAAUAAUAAUAUAUAAUUAAUUAAUAUUUUAAUUCAUUAAAUCAAUCAGAUUAGAUAUGAAAGAACAGAUCUAAAAAAAUCUCCGUCUUCAUCGUAACAGAUUAUGCGAAUUUUUCUCAUGAUUUUGAUGGAUUCAUCAGCAGAAUAUGGUUUGUUCCUCGAUUUCUUGCCGAGGUUGUCUUGAUUCGGUUGGUUUUGUCUGUGAGGCUCUGGCAUUUUUUUCCCACUCAAAAGAUACCCAGUACCCAAAAAACUGUGAUUUGUAGAAAAUAAAACCAAAAAAGGCUAGUAAUGAACGGUAAGGGGGGAAACUAACACUAUCUGAUUCUCAAGUAAGAGGCCCUCUUAAAAACAAGAAAAGAUAGAAAAUUUUCAUUAUAUGAAAACCCCCAAAACACUCUACUCCAGAACAAGUCCUGCAAACAAAAACCCAUAACCAAAAACCAUGACCCAUUUCAGAUCAGAACCAGAAAACCAUAAAACAAGAAGGAACAUUAAUGAUUUAUACAAAAAAACACCAAAUAACACCAGUGUUUAAGAAAGAUUUGUACCUUUUGGGCCUCAAACGCAUCGAAACCUUCGGGCAAAGGUGAAGGCAAAAGAGCUGCAGUUGAAUGCAAAUAUUACAGAGAAAAACAGAAGCAAAUGAAAUCCAGUGCUUCAACUGAGACCCAAUUGCAACCAAUUCAGACCCUACC